This 190-nucleotide unclassified non-coding RNA is filed under the name Exophiala opportunistica. RNAcentral describes it as "partial internal transcribed spacer 2". RNAcentral also lists the same sequence under 1 other name. Lineage: Eukaryota; Fungi; Ascomycota; Eurotiomycetes; Chaetothyriales; Herpotrichiellaceae. The record is from RNAcentral.
UCACCCCUCAAGCCCCCGGCUUGGUGUUGGACGGUUUGGUGGAGACCCCCCGUGGGCUUCCCACCCCUCCCAAAGACAAUGACGGCGGCCUCGUUGGACCCCCGGUACACUGAGUUCUUCACGGGACACGUAUCGGACAACAUGGGUUUACGGGCCACGGUCUGCCUCCCCUCAGGGAGAAUCUUCUUAA